ACGGCUCAGUAACACGUAGCCAAUCUAACCUAUGGACGGGGAUAACCUCGGGAAACUGAGGAUAAACCCCGAUAGAUCAUUAUGCCUGGAACGGUUUAUGGUCCAAACGAUUCGUCGCCAUAGGAUGAGACUGCGGCCUAUCAGCUUGUUGGUGAGGUAAUGGCCCACCAAGGCUAUUACAGGUACGGGCUCUGAGAGGAGAAGCCCGGAGAUGGGUACUGAGACACGGACCCAGGCCCUAUGGGGCGCAGCAGGCGAGAAACCUUUGCAAUGUGCGCAAGCACGACAAGGUUAAUCCGAGUGUUUCCUGCUAAAGGAAUCUUUUGUUAGUCCUAAAAACACUAGCGAAUAAGGGGUGGGCAAGUUCUGGUGUCAGCCGCCGCGGUAAAACCAGCACCUCAAGUUGUCAGGAGGAUUAUUGGGCCUAAAGCAUCCGUAGCCUGCUCUGUAAGUUUCCGGUUAAAUCCAUUUGCUCAACAAAUGGGCUGCCGGAAAAACUGCAAAGCUAGGGAGUGGGAGAGGUAGACGGUACUCGGUAGGAAGGGGUAAAAUCCUUUGAUCUAUUGAUGACCACCUGUGGCGAAGGCGGUCUACCAGAACACGUUCGACGGUGAGGGAUGAAAGCUGGGGGAGCAAACCGGAUUAGAUACCCGGGUAGUCCCAGCUGUAAACUAUGCAAACUCGGUGAUGCAUUGGCUUGUGGCCAGUGCAGUGCCGCAGGAAGCCGUUAAGUUUGCCGCCUGGGAAGUACGUACGCAAGUAUGAAACUUAAAGGAAUUGGCGGGGGAGCACCACAAGGGGUGAAGCCUGCGGUUCAAUUGGAGUCAACGCCGGG
This 835-nucleotide ribosomal RNA is filed under the name uncultured archaeon. Its description in RNAcentral is "bacterial SSU rRNA". It matches the Rfam family "Archaeal small subunit ribosomal RNA", at positions 85 to 922 of the family's 1478-position model. The record is from RNAcentral.